Molecule: unclassified non-coding RNA, 331 nt
Filed under: Hevea brasiliensis (rubber tree)
Lineage: Eukaryota; Viridiplantae; Streptophyta; Magnoliopsida; Malpighiales; Euphorbiaceae
Source: RNAcentral
GUUUUGUAGCAAAGAGUGCAGACAAGAGCAGAUAGAGAUGGAUGAGUCGAGGAAGAAGAAGAACUGGAAACUGUCCUCUUCUUCUAGUAGAUCUCUGAGGAAAUCGGAGGCAGAGGAGAAUUCCCCCAAUAAAACUGUACGGACAGGCACAGUUGUUGUUGCUUAAGGAAUACUAAUUAACUAGGCCACAAGCGGCUAAGCCAAUUUUGAAUUUUCAUAAUCCAAUGUAAAAGAAUUGCGGAUGUUCAUUCUUCUUCAUCUGUAAAGAAGUAAUGAGUGAUGGGCGGGGGCUAAUUAAGCUUUGAGAGAUGGAAAGGAAGCAAGGCCCAUC